GACAGAGGUGCCGAGCGUUAGGCGGAAUCACUGGGCUUAAAGCGUGUGUAGGCGGGUCCGUAAGUACCUUGUGAAAUCCCACGGCUCAACCGUGGAACUGCUCGGUAUACUGCGGGUCUGAGCUGUCUAGGGGCGACCGGAACAAACGGUGGAGCGGUGAAAUGCGUAGAUAUCGCUUGGAACGCCAAAGGCGAAAGCAGACGACUGGGGCUGAGCGACGC
Molecule: ribosomal RNA, 221 nt
Filed under: uncultured bacterium
Lineage: Bacteria
Description: partial 16S ribosomal RNA
Rfam family: Bacterial small subunit ribosomal RNA
Source: RNAcentral